CGGCGGACGGGUGAGUAACACGUGGGUAACCUACCCAUAAGACUGGGAUAACUCCGGGAAACCGGGGCUAAUACCGGAUAAUAUUUUGAACUGCAUAGUUCGAAAUUGAAAGGCGGCUUCGGCUGUCACUUAUGGAUGGACCCGCGUCGCAUUAGCUAGUUGGUGAGGUAACGGCUCACCAAGGCGACGAUGCGUAGCCGACCUGAGAGGGUGAUCGGCCACACUGGGACUGAGACACGGCCCAGACUCCUACGGGAGGCAGCAGUAGGGAAUCUUCCGCAAUGGACGAAAGUCUGACGGAGCAACGCCGCGUGAGUGAUGAAGGCUUUCGGGUCGUAAAACUCUGUUGUUAGGGAAGAACAAGUGCUAGUUGAAUAAGCUGGCACCUUGACGGUACCUAACCAGAAAGCCACGGCUAACUACGUGCCAGCAGCCGCGGUAAUACGUAGGUGGCAAGCGUUAUCCGGAAUUAUUGGGCGUAAAGCGCGCGCAGGUGGUUUCUUAAGUCUGAUGUGAAAGCCCACGGCUCAACCGUGGAGGGUCAUUGGAAACUGGGAGACUUGAGUGCAGAAGAGGAAAGUGGAAUUCCAUGUGUAGCGGUGAAAUGCGUAGAGAUAUGGAGGAACACCAGUGGCGAAGGCGACUUUCUGGUCUGUAACUGACACUGAG
This 669-nucleotide ribosomal RNA is filed under the name Bacillus sp. B_13. RNAcentral's name for it is "bacterial SSU rRNA". It matches the Rfam family "Bacterial small subunit ribosomal RNA", at positions 96 to 750 of the family's 1533-position model. The record is from RNAcentral. Lineage: Bacteria; Bacillati; Bacillota; Bacilli; Caryophanales; Bacillaceae.